Molecule: long non-coding RNA, 3333 nt
Organism: Scophthalmus maximus (turbot)
Lineage: Eukaryota; Metazoa; Chordata; Actinopteri; Pleuronectiformes; Scophthalmidae
Exons: 9
Source: RefSeq, a predicted model, not a curated record
CUCUGGUCUGUGGCAAAAAUAAUUAGGAUGUGUGUGUGUUAGAUUAAAGUUGCCUGCUGAUGUCCUGUCUAAUAUUCCGAUGUCAUAUCCAUGAUUUACAUGCACACAUGUGGCAGUGAUGUUAUAAAAUAUAUGAAAUGUAUAUUGUUACUUGAGCAGGUCCAUGAGGUGUCUGAUGAAGUCUCCCUGGCCCAGCAGCAAGUAUCUCCUCAUGGCCUGCAGGUGCUCCAGCAGCAGGUAGUUGCGGUUGAGGACGUUCAGCAGGUAUUUGCUGGUGUCAAAGUAAGCAGCGUCGAUCUUCUCCUGAAACGCCCCCUCCAGGUCGGACAGCAGCUCUGCAGCUACGGGAGAGGGUGGAGAUGGAGAAAGGUAUACAGAACAAGGACUUGAUGGUAUAUAUUUAUCUAUUACUGCAUUCAUUGAUUAGAAAAGCGAGGCAAGAAGGACGUUUGACUGGACUCGAGGUGAAGGGUCACGCAAAUACCCUCUGCUGGACGACAAGGGAGAAUUCAUCAUGACGUCCUUCAGCAGAUACAGUAAAAGCUACAGAUCAGUCCAGACCGAUGAAGUCCUACAGACUGAAUCAAUAGAUCAUGGCUAAGUAUACCUCUUUCCACUUCAUAGUCAGGAGGAGCGGAGGAGAAGGCCAGUGAACGGUAAGAGCAUCGAUCACUGCCAGUCCACUGGCCUUCGUCAAUACAACAAUAUCAAUACGAUGAGGAAGAAACAGUAGAGCUUGCAACGGCACUCUAACCUCUACACGAGCAUACUGCGGCAUGUUAUUGCCUCUUCCUAAUGUCACUUAAACUGUGUCUUACCAUCUUUAGGUGUGUCAGCAGACUUGGAUGCCGACGUGAUUUUGCCUGGCGGUGUUCUGUCGUGACAAACCUGGUGCAGGAAGUUGAUGGAUUUGCCAAUGAGCAGAACCUAGAAAGGAGAGGAGAUGAAGACGAGCUGAAUUUAACUUCAGCACUUAAGAGCAGAGUCCCGUGAUGAACUGGUGGUUAAUGCUGGACACAUAAAUACUAAAGACGCAGAAAACUCCCUGAUGGUUGCUCUGUAAAAGGAUCUCUGGGAGGACAGGAGCUUCAGACGUACCACGUCCAACAUGUUGAGAUUUUCAAAAGCACAAAUGCACAGAACACAUCAGAAAGAGGUUUGUACCUCGUGCAGUUCUCCUGGCCACUCAUCUUGAUGAACUUGCCGUCGAUUCCCUGGAAGACGUACAGGAUGUCCCGCACCAGCGCCGCCUCGCUCACCUCGCCUAUGCCAGCAGAGGACCAGAGCACCUGUGUCACCGUCUCUGCGAGGACGGAUCACUCGGGACGAGGGAACCGGAGGUCCGAGGAGGGGCCUGGUGGUGAGCGGAGCCAGAGCGGAGGACGGAGAGCAGCUCAUGGGAAGAGCCCAGGCUAGUCGAGAGCCCAGAGGCUGAGCGGACUGAGGAAGUUGACUAAAACACACACACGCAUGUUUACAGUUAGUUACAAAGUUCUGCACAGAUCAUUGAAAGCCACUAUACCCUUGCAUAUCUUCAAGCAUUUUUUCCAGGUUCAUGGCUACAAAAUAAAAUGUUAACAACAGCAAAUUAAACUUAAAUCAACUGAGCACAGACAUAAAAUACAGUGAGUGUUUUUAAUAGUUUUUUUUACAAUUAAAUGCUUUUUUAGGAGUAAGGACUACUUGCCCUUUCACGCUUAAAAGGUGAGCCUUUACAGCUCAAUGGUCAUUUGUAGCUGGAGGAUUCCUGCAUUAUUAAUAAGGAUGAAUGGAAUUAAAGGGCCUUCUGGUGCCUCAUAAAACAGAUUUAUAAGAGGUCAGGCUGAAAAGGACAGUUCAUGUUCUGCUGUUAAUUGACGCUUCCUUCUACUCACACACAAGUGUUUUUACAAAACCAGCAUCAAAAGAAUAAACCAGUCUCAUCAGAGCUUGUAUUUAACGUUACAUCCCCCCCAAAAAAGAUUCAAAAAUGUGUCUUCAGCCAGUGUGGUGGUGUGUGGAAGUGCGUAUGAAAGUUCUCACCCGGCCAGCAGCGACUGCGGCGUCGGCGUGGGUCCGUUCAGCGUGUAGACUCCCAGACUGGAGAUGCCACUGGUGCCGACGGUGGCCGACAGACCCCCGCUUCUCUCGCCGUAGCCCAGGGCCAGGCUUUGGGGCCGGGUGCAGUAGAACGGGGUGGAGUGGGCAUCCCUGGGCAGGGCCUGGGCAAACAGUGCCCCAUAGUUGCCAACCUGGGAUGGACAGGGGGGACAAUGAGGAGGUGAGUGUCUCAAAGAAAGUUUCACCCUCAUUCUAAAACCCUUUGAGACUGGCUGUGUGUGUGUGUGUGUUCCCUCACCCUGCCGGACGGUUUACGAGGGUCCUCGGACAGGCUGAGCAGCAGAUAGAGAACAGACCAGCGAUGCUUCAGAACGCUCUGUCAAAUGUUUUCUGUGCAGCUCCGAGAACAGAGCGGCAUCUGCCUCUCUCCUCUGCUUCAGCACUGCAACAGCAUCGAGACAAACUCCGUGAGCUGGGAUGUUUGAAUGAACUCAUCCCGUUCGAUGGUGGGGGCGUAGUUACUGCCAAUGACACGCACCGCAUACUGGAACUGGUGGGCAACUUCAGCUGGAGAAAGAAACAACAAGUAAGGGACACGCUGCCCAUCCUCAGAGAUGUCUGCAUCCAGCAGAGGCCUGCAGCAGCUAGCAGGACACAAGUGCAUCCUCCAGCCGUGCAAACAGUGCACUGGUCAGCAUCGGGGCUACAUGUAGGGCUAGCAAGCUAACAGAUGGCCGGAUGAACAAGUAGCCACCCGAUCAAAACCCCUAAACACCACUAGUGUAUUUCAGGAACAGCUCCACAAAGGCUGCUAAAGCGGUGUGUUCUUACAGCCAAGCCCAUUGGCUGACAGCUUCACGGACCUAGCCCCGCUUACGUGCCGUUAUCCUGCACAGAGAAAGUGAUGCCAAACAUCAUCGAGCUAGGUCACUUUCAAGCCUAUUAAGAAAUAAACAUGCUAUGUUUAGUUUAGCCCCAACAAACCACGUAGCACUCAUUUCCUACCGCUUUCUACAUCAUUCCGUCACAAAAACACACCGGGUUGAUCCAGUGCAAGCAGUGAAAACGUUCGAUUAUUGAUGAGAUCCUGGUUGUGUGGUGCGGGAAACAUACGCCGAACUUGUCAGAGGACAAUAACGAUUCAGUUGAUGUCUUCACCAUGUUACAAAGAUGUGUCUGAUCACCACUGUGACGAACUACGACUAAGUUGGCUAAUUUUUGAACGAGGUUAGGUUGAUGCAUACUGUCGGAAGUGGCGCGGUGCAUGCUAAUGCCCAGUGAUGUACCUUCGCU